Molecule: unclassified non-coding RNA, 329 nt
Filed under: soil metagenome
Description: partial contains 5.8S ribosomal RNA, internal transcribed spacer 2, and large subunit ribosomal RNA
Rfam family: 5.8S ribosomal RNA (bases 1-120)
Source: RNAcentral
GAUGAAGAACGUAGUGAAAUGCGAUAAGUAAUGUGAAUUGCAGAAUUCAGUGAAUCAUCGAAUCUUUGAACGCACAUUGCGCCCCUUGGUAUUCCGAGGGGCAUGCCUGUUCGAGCGUCAUUAUAACCCCUCAAGCUCAGCUUGGUGUUGGGGCCUGCUGCACUGGCAGCCCUUAAAAUCAGUGGCGGCGCCAUCUGGCUCUAAGCGUAGUAAUUCUUCUCGCUAUGGAGUCCUGGUGGAUGCUUGCCAUCAACCCCCAAUUUUUCUAUGGUUGACCUCGGAUCAGGUAGGAAUACCCGCUGAACUUAAGCAUAUCAAUAAGCGGAGGA